GCUUUUGCGAGUCCGCACUCCCGGGGCGUCUCGCGCUCAUUUCGAGCGGAGGCGCACCCAGAGCGUACACGUUGGGACCCGAAAGAUGGUGAACUAUGCCUGGUCAGGACGAAGUCAGGGGAAACCCUGAUGGAGGUCCGUAGCGAUUCUGACGUGCAAAUCGAUCGUCGGAACUGGGUAUAGGGGCGAAAGACUAAUCGAACCAUCUAGUAGCUGGUUCCCUCCGAAGUUUCCCUCAGGAUAGCUGGCACUCGCUCUGAGCGAGUCUCAUCUGGUAAAGCGAAUGAUUAGAGGCCUUGGGGCCGAAACGACCUCAACCUAUUCUCAAACUUUAAAUGGGUGAGAUCUCUGGCUUGCUUGAAACUUGAAGCCACGAGAUUAUAAUGGAUCAGAGUGCCAAGUGGGCCAAUUU
RNAcentral lists this ribosomal RNA (412 nucleotides) under Orasema coloradensis. Its description in RNAcentral is "partial 28S ribosomal RNA". It matches the Rfam family "Eukaryotic large subunit ribosomal RNA", at positions 742 to 1137 of the family's 3401-position model. The record is from RNAcentral. Lineage: Eukaryota; Metazoa; Arthropoda; Insecta; Hymenoptera; Eucharitidae.